AUUGAUAUAAACUAUCGCUUCUAUAGAUUUGAUUUCAUUCCCACUCGUUUUGAAAAUUAAAAACGUACUAUACUUUUCUACUUUACAGUGCAUGUGAAUCGUGUAAGAUUUUUUAUAGUAAUUUAUUAUUACGUAUUUCGUACGGUGAUUCUGAAUAAAUCAACAAAAUUAAACCAAUCGACAUUUGUUGUAAUUUUUUUUUAGUUCUGUAAAACAACUGCUAAGAAUCCGAAAAUGUUUUCAAAUAAAUUAUUACCAGAUAAAAAAAUUUGAAUAUUUUAAGAUACGAUGUGAAUGAUUUGGAGUAUUUUUACUAAUUCAAAGUAUUUUCAGAGAAAAAACACACGUAUCUUAAUAAAUCUGAUAGCUUCUUCAUUAGUUCGUUAUACACUC
Cinara cedri is the source of this 393-nucleotide non-coding RNA. Lineage: Eukaryota; Metazoa; Arthropoda; Insecta; Hemiptera; Aphididae. The record is from the annotation of a GenBank genome assembly.